RNAcentral lists this ribosomal RNA (344 nucleotides) under Klebsiella pneumoniae. RNAcentral's name for it is "bacterial SSU rRNA". It matches the Rfam family "Bacterial small subunit ribosomal RNA", at positions 675 to 1018 of the family's 1533-position model. The record is from RNAcentral. Lineage: Bacteria; Pseudomonadati; Pseudomonadota; Gammaproteobacteria; Enterobacterales; Enterobacteriaceae.
GUAGCGGUGAAAUGCGUAGAGAUCUGGAGGAAUACCGGUGGCGAAGGCGGCCCCCUGGACAAAGACUGACGCUCAGGUGCGAAAGCGUGGGGAGCAAACAGGAUUAGAUACCCUGGUAGUCCACGCCGUAAACGAUGUCGAUUUGGAGGUUGUGCCCUUGAGGCGUGGCUUCCGGAGCUAACGCGUUAAAUCGACCGCCUGGGGAGUACGGCCGCAAGGUUAAAACUCAAAUGAAUUGACGGGGGCCCGCACAAGCGGUGGAGCAUGUGGUUUAAUUCGAUGCAACGCGAAGAACCUUACCUGGUCUUGACAUCCACAGAACUUUCCAGAGAUGGAUUGGUGCC